AUGCUACUCCCUCUAUUCCAUAAUUCUUGUCGAAAUCUUACAUGUAUCUAUACAUUUUUUAGAAAUAGAUACAUUCAUUUUUGGACAAAUUUGAGACAAGAAUUAUGGAACGGAGAGAGUACAUU
Molecule: non-coding RNA, 125 nt
Organism: Brachypodium distachyon (stiff brome)
Lineage: Eukaryota; Viridiplantae; Streptophyta; Magnoliopsida; Poales; Poaceae
Source: Rfam